ACUCCCGUGGUGGUGACGGAUAACGGAGGAUCAGGGUUCGACUCCGGAGAAGGGGCCUGAGAAAUGGCCACUACGUCUAAGGAUGGCAGCAGGCGCGCAAAUUACCCACUCUCGGCUCGAGGAGGUAGUGACGAGAAAUAACGAGACUGUUCUCUUUGAGGCCGGUCAUCGGAAUGGGUACAAUUUAAACCCUUUAACGAGUAUCAAGCAGAGGGCAAGUCUGGUGCCAGCAGCCGCGGUAAUUCCAGCUCUGCUAAUACAUAGAAUUAUUGCUGCGGUUAAAAAGCUCGUAGUUGGAUUCGUAUCGGUACCUUGGAACCCUUCGGGUGUUUCUGGGUGUUAUCGAUUUAUCGUAAUGUUCGGUUUUGAGUCCUUAACAGGAUUUUUAACAGUCAUUGCAAGUUUACUUUGAACAAAUCAGAGUGCUUCAAACAGGCGUUUUCGCUUGAAUGAUCGUGCAUGGAAUAAUAGAAAACGAUUUCGGUUCAGUUUUAUUGGUUUUACGGACUGAGAUAAUGGUUAACAGAGACAAACGGGGGCAUUUGUAUGGCCCCGUGAGAGGUGAAAUUCUUGGACCGUGGCCGGACAAACUACAGCGAAAGCAUUUGCCAAGAAUGUCUUCAUUAAUCAAGAACGAAAGUCAGAGGUUCGAAGGCGAUCAGAUACCGCCCUAGUUCUGACCGUAAACGAUGCCAACUAGCGAUCCGCCGAUGGAAAUUAUAUUGCCUUGGUGGGGAGCUUCCCGGAAACGAAAGUCUUCCGGUUCCGGGGGAAGUAUGGUUGCAAAGCUGAAACUUAAAGGAAUUGACGGAAGGGCACCACCAGGAGUGGAGCCUGCGGCUUAAUUUGACUCAACACGGGGAAACUCACCCGGCCCGGACACUGUGAGGAUUGACAGAUUGAUAGCUUUUUCAUGAUUCAGUGGAUGGUGGUGCAUGGCCGUUCUUAGUUCGUGGAGUGAUUUGUCUGGUUUAUUCCGAUAACGAGCGAGACUCUAACCUACUAAAUAGCUGGUACAUACUCUUAGUGUAUACAGCUUCUUAGAGGGAUUUGCGGUGUUCAGCCGAAAGAAAUUGAGCAAUAACAGGUCUGUGAUGCCCUUAGAUGUCCGGGGCUGCACGCGCGCUACACUGGCAAAAUCAACGUGCUUGUCCUACCCCGAAAGGGGCGGGUAAACCAUUGAAAAUUUGCCGUGAUUGGGAUCGGAAAUUGCAAUUAUUUUCCGUGAACGAGG
This 1234-nucleotide ribosomal RNA is filed under the name Meloidogyne enterolobii. RNAcentral describes it as "SSU rRNA". It matches the Rfam family "Eukaryotic small subunit ribosomal RNA", at positions 340 to 1608 of the family's 1831-position model. Lineage: Eukaryota; Metazoa; Nematoda; Chromadorea; Rhabditida; Meloidogynidae. The record is from RNAcentral.